CGAUGGACCUUCACGUGUCUUCAUGGACCCUAAAAGCGGCAGCGAGCUGUGGAGCGGCCGCCGGGCUCCAGCAGCGCCGCUGCCCCCCGGGAUGCAAGGAGCCCCGGGGCCGCCCUCGGGCCGCCGAGCUGCUCCUCCUCGGGGUCCUCACCUGCUAUUCACACUGAGACAUAGGAAAUGCUUUCUGGUCGUCGUUCUGGCAUGGGGGUGAUUGCUGCUCUGGGGAUGUUAUGGCAGCACGGGUGGUGCCUUCUACUUAAGGAUAGACAGUGGUGUCCCUUCUCCUGGGGAACGUAACGAGUCGGUGUGCGGCACGGGUCCGAGCUACGUGCUCCCACCUCGGGACCAGCCCGGGACAGGGACGCGCCGCUGGGGGAAACGAAGGGGACGCGUCCCGCGGAGGCAGCGGGGCGAGCUGGGCGCUGCGCAGAGCCUCGGACGGAGCGCCGGGCAAAACGCGGAGCCGGAGGGAAGCGAUCCCCGGCCCUCUUUACCCUCGUCUGGGGACGCGGCUUUGGCGCAGGGUGGAACAGGAACGGCCCCAACGGGCUCAGAGCUGCUGCGGGCGGCCUCCCGCAAACGGGCACCGAGCGGUUCAUUUUAGGUGAAGGAAUGUCAUUUCGCUACUAAAUGUGAUAUUAAGUUUCCCCCGCCCUUGGAACACGACACUCCGCAAAGUUUCCCUCUCGAUAUUGAUUUGGCCGCUCCGAGACGGACCGGGGUCAGCAGUGUUUACCGAGGAGCGAUCCGCACUAUUGGCUGCCCGGAGGAACGCGAACACCGCACCCAGCGCACGGGGCCGGCCGGGUUCCUUCCCAUUCCCCCCCGGCUCUCCCCGCUGCUCUCCGCAAUAAGCGGGGCCGCCCCCCGCGCCCCUCCGUGUCAUCGCGCAGCGGUAAUUGCGGAGCUCUUUGCGAAGGGAGAGCGCCAACAGCGCGGCCGGGAUGGGGCUUCCGUACCGAUCGGCUUGAGGAGCUUUGACAGCCUGAAUUCCGCCGGCUCCGGACUCCUCCUGCGGGAGGGAUCGUUCUCCAGGGCCCGGCGCUCCCUGCCGUGGGGGGCCGCUCCUGGAGAGCAACCCGCUCGCUAUUGCAAGAAAAAAUGGAAUAUUGUUAAUAAAUAAUAGUAAACAAAUCGCGCACAGCCGGGAGGCGGAGGAGUGCUGCACAUCCACACGUCUGUUGUAACCGCGCUUCGGCAAUUGUCUGAAAAUGACAAAAAAUAAAAAUAGAAUAUCGGCAAAAUAGUUCA
Molecule: long non-coding RNA, 1251 nt
Filed under: Phasianus colchicus (ring-necked pheasant)
Lineage: Eukaryota; Metazoa; Chordata; Aves; Galliformes; Phasianidae
Description: lncRNA (ENSPCLG00000004714.1)
Source: RNAcentral